CGAGCUAGAGAGGCUUGCUUCUCUUGAGAGCGGCGGACGGGUGAGUAAUGCCUAGGAAUCUGCCUGGUAGUGGGGGAUAACGUUCGGAAACGGACGCUAAUACCGCAUACGUCCUACGGGAGAAAGCAGGGGACCUUCGGGCCUUGCGCUAUCAGAUGAGCCUAGGUCGGAUUAGCUAGUUGGUGGGGUAAUGGCUCACCAAGGCGACGAUCCGUAACUGGUCUGAGAGGAUGAUCAGUCACACUGGAACUGAGACACGGUCCAGACUCCUACGGGAGGCAGCAGUGGGGAAUAUUGGACAAUGGGCGAAAGCCUGAUCCAGCCAUGCCGCGUGUGUGAAGAAGGUCUUCGGAUUGUAAAGCACUUUAAGUUGGGAGGAAGGGUUGUAGAUUAAUACUCUGCAAUUUUGACGUUACCGACAGAAUAAGCACCGGCUAACUCUGUGCCAGCAGCCGCGGUAAUACAGAGGGUGCAAGCGUUAAUCGGAAUUACUGGGCGUAAAGCGCGCGUAGGUGGUUUGUUAAGUUGGAUGUGAAAUCCCCGGGCUCAACCUGGGAACUGCAUUCAAAACUGACUGACUAGAGUAUGGUAGAGGGUGGUGGAAUUUCCUGUGUAGCGGUGAAAUGCGUAGAUAUAGGAAGGAACACCAGUGGCGAAGGCGACCACCUGGACUAAUACUGACACUGAGGUGCGAAAGCGUGGGGAGCAAACAGGAUUAGAUACCCUGGUAGUCCACGCCGUAAACGAUGUCAACUAGCCGUUGGAAGCCUUGAGCUUUUAGUGGCGCAGCUAACGCAUUAAGUUGACCGCCUGGGGAGUACGGCCGC
This 827-nucleotide ribosomal RNA is filed under the name Pseudomonas sp. RNAcentral describes it as "bacterial SSU rRNA". It matches the Rfam family "Bacterial small subunit ribosomal RNA", at positions 63 to 889 of the family's 1533-position model. Lineage: Bacteria; Pseudomonadati; Pseudomonadota; Gammaproteobacteria; Pseudomonadales; Pseudomonadaceae. The record is from RNAcentral.